GAAUAGUUCGCAAUAGGUAAUGUAAUUUAAUUGCUAAUUAAACGGGUAUAUCCCUUAAAGGUUCGACUCCUUUACUAUUCA
Non-coding RNA from Hanseniaspora opuntiae, 81 nucleotides. The record is from Rfam. NCBI's taxonomy places the organism in Eukaryota, Fungi, Ascomycota, Saccharomycetes, Saccharomycodales, Saccharomycodaceae.